UAAAAAACGUACCAAAAGAGUUAAUAACAAAUUGUGAAGACACCUAUUAAUAGAUGUAAACACAAUUGUGUCCUCCUUUGUUAUUGACUGAGUUGCUGUUGAUUUCCUUGAUGCAACUUGAGUCUGUGUGGAUUCUGCUUUUAUCACUUUUGAGAUGAGCAUCGAUGACUCGAAUAGAUCAAGACCUCCACACCUUGGGAGUUUUAAAUGUUAUACUGUCUGGAAUUCAACGUUUUUAUAAAGUUCUUGUAUGGUCUGUUUAGAGCGGAGGGUCAGGCCCAUAAGGACUGAAGACCUAACUUGGUGUAUGAUCGUCAUUAUUUGAAGUCAAACCUGAGAAACUGUUAUUUCGGACUUAACUCAGACUUGAGCGUUGGCACCUCAGCUGCAAAGUUGAUUAAAAUUUCAUCUAAAUGUUAAUAAACUGCAGCAAUCAAAAUGAAUCUACUCUAAUCCCUGAGUUAAAGGUGCUUGAUUCAAUAUUCAGAGUAUUAAUAUUGCAGCGAACAGCUAUUUGCUUUGUAAAGAAAGAUGGAAGUAGUGUCUGCCUGAGCAGAGAGUUUCCCCGCCCUGACCAACACCACCCAUUCUCUGCCUCCGCCGCCCCACUGUUUGCUCUGCACUCACCACUUUGGCUGUAGUUUGCACUGUUAGCAACGUUAGCUGUGAUGUGCUGGAUCAGAAGUCGCCAUUGUUGAGAGCCGCCGGGAGGCAAAAAAAAUGCUUCCAGUCCCACAAAUAAGAUGUUGCUCCUCCAGAAGUACAUUUAAUUUCCAGAUUAGCAAAUUUCAAUGCUCAGCUGUUAAAAAAAGAACCACCUGUGGAGUUAAUUAAGUGUGAAGGUGUGAGGGGUGUGUAGAGGAGACUUAAAAACUCAGAUGCACUGUGGAUUGUGGACAACCAACAAGGAGCAUGAAGAGAUAUAAUGCAUUAUGUUUUGUGGUUCCAGACUCUCUACUAUUUCACCACUCGAAUGCUUUAACUUCACUGCUCAAGGCAAAGUAUUGUAGUGGUUUCAACUGCGACAUCAGCAAGCGUCCUGGAGCAGCUUGCAGAAUCUCUACAGAGAGAAGUGACUGCAGCACAGACGUUCAGUUUCAAAGGGGGUUGAAUAAAGACAUCAAUGUGGCCUCCCACUCUGCACGCUUCAUUUUAUCCCUAAAGGCCGGCGCAUGCGUCUGCGUCGUUGCGUCGACGCACUCGUUUCAAUCCAUGGUUCUAAAAGUCUUGCGUGUGUUGCAGAGCGAUUCACCGCCAGAACAACAGGCGGGGUGACGUGUUUUGUUGAAGACGACCUAGAGAGUCACGUCUGUUUAUUUAUUUGUUUGUUUAUUUAUCAUAGACUUUAUUGCCCCGUGCAUCGACACUGCUGCUUCUCAUCGCGGACACAUUUGUCCCGUAUUUUCCUCCACAACUUUGUGCACCUCGAUCUCCCUCCGUGAAUCCAACCCGCUUCUAUAACCCGCCAAUGACGGCUCGUAUAAGCGGUCACAUUUACGCAUUUCUACUGACAAAAGUUCUUCGAUCUGAUCCCUCGUAAACAUUCUUCGUUUUAAUAAUGGCGGUGUCGGGCUAUGAAAGCGGAAAUGUGAGACUCCGUAAAGGACGUAGUUAGCGGACCAAUCGCAGCCUGGUGCGCUAGAAAAAUGGGUCGACACACGCAAGGACGCAAGGAGGUGUGAAAAGCGACGCAAGGGACACGCAAGGGGGUCUUGCGUCUGCGUCGCUCUAAAAACGCAGAAGCACAAACUAGGCUUAAGAACCAAACCCCUCUGCUGAAAAACGAAAAAACAAAAAAAUCUUACCCCUGGUUGUAGGAAUAUGUUCAUUAAGCACAAUAAAAUAUUUAGCAGCCUCUAAAACCCAGGGACAAAGUUUUAAUGCAGUGCUAUAAAUUCAGGGCACUCCUUGGAUUUCUUGGCAGCCUCCAUUUAUUUAUUUGCUCUAUUUGUUUUGAUUUCGGACCCCAGGGUUAGUCGCUGAAGUGACGCAAAAUAGGAUAAAUGUGUGCACAGCAGUCCUGCCUGUUCUUUACCUGUA
Molecule: long non-coding RNA, 2040 nt
Organism: Gasterosteus aculeatus aculeatus (three-spined stickleback)
Lineage: Eukaryota; Metazoa; Chordata; Actinopteri; Perciformes; Gasterosteidae
Source: Ensembl